RNAcentral lists this ribosomal RNA (440 nucleotides) under uncultured bacterium. RNAcentral's name for it is "partial 16S ribosomal RNA". It matches the Rfam family "Bacterial small subunit ribosomal RNA", at positions 338 to 795 of the family's 1533-position model. The record is from RNAcentral.
CCUACGGGCGGCAGCAGUGGGGAAUAUUGCACAAUGGGGGAAACCCUGAUGCAGCGACGCCGCGUGAGUGAAGAAGUAAUUCGUUAUGUAAAGCUCUAUCAGCAGGGAAGAAAAUGACGGUACCUGAAUAAGAAGCCACGGCUAACUAAGUGCCAGCAGCCGCGGUAAUAAGUAGGGGGCAAGCGUUAUCCGGAUUUACUGGGGGUAAAGGGAGCGUAGACGGCAGUGCAAGUCUGGCGGUAAAGGCGGGGGCUCAACCCCCGGACUGCUAUGGAAACUGUACGGCUGGAGUGCAGGAGUGGUAAGUGGAAUUCCUAGUGUAGCGGUGAAAUGCGUAGAUAUUAGGAGGAACACCAGUGGCGAAGGCGGCUUACUGGACUGUAACUGACGUUGAGGCUCGAAAGCGUGGGGAGCAAACAGGAUUAGAUACCCCAGUAGUC